GUAGGUGGCAAGCGUUGUCCGGGAAUUAUUGGGGCGUAAAGCGCGCGCAGGCGGUUCUUUAAGUCUGAUGUGAAAGCCCACGGGCUCAACCGUGGAGGGUCAUUGGAAACUGGAGAACUUGAGUACAGAAGAGGAAAGCGGAAUUCCACGUGUAGCGGUGAAAUGCGUAGAGAUGUGGAGGAACACCAGUGGCGAAGGCGGCUUUCUGGUCUGUAACUGACGCUGAGGCGCGAAAGCGUGGGGAGCAAACAGGAUUAGAUACCCUGGUAGUCCACGCCGUAAACGAUGAGUGCUAAGUGUUAGGGGGUUUCCGCCCCUUAGUGCUGCAGCUAACGCAUUAAGCACUCCGCCUGGGGAGUACGGCCGCAAGGCUG
RNAcentral lists this ribosomal RNA (374 nucleotides) under uncultured organism. Its description in RNAcentral is "partial 16S ribosomal RNA". It matches the Rfam family "Bacterial small subunit ribosomal RNA", at positions 527 to 896 of the family's 1533-position model. The record is from RNAcentral.